Molecule: long non-coding RNA, 899 nt
Filed under: Phascolarctos cinereus (koala)
Lineage: Eukaryota; Metazoa; Chordata; Mammalia; Diprotodontia; Phascolarctidae
Description: lncRNA (ENSPCIG00000031470.1)
Source: RNAcentral
GUCCACUUCAGGCUGUUGAAGGUUCCUGGGACCGAGUCUCCAUCAGCUCUGUCCUGACACCUAGUGGACAAUCCCCAUACUCUCCACCCAGGUUGUAGGCUUAGUGCCGUUUUCAAAAACUAGCAAAGGAGCUAGCUUACAUAGUUCCCUAUGUUUCCCUUUCCAGAUGAGUUAAAGUAAACGGGCAGCGUGGAGUUUGGACUUUGCUGGAAUGCAAAUGAAAUUAACAUAGAUGCAAUGAAGAGUGGGCCUCAGCCAAGGAGUGAAGACUCCUAUUGCACUUAUAUCACUGCCACCAUGACGGGCCUCCCAACGCCCCCUCCCCCAAAAGGUAAGUUAUAUCCCAUUGGAAGGGUAGCUAGGUGGCGCAGUGGAUAGAGCACCGGCCCUGAAUUCAGGAGGACCUGAGUUCAAAUCCGGCCUCAGACACAUAACACUUACUACCUGGGUGAUCCUGGGCAAGUCACUUAACCCCAUUGCCUAGCCAAAAAAAAAAAAAAAAGGAAUUUUUUUUAAAAAAAAGUUAUAUCCCAUUGGAGAGGAAACUCCCGUUCUUGGGGCUUCAGCCUAGACUAAGGAGAAACCCCCAGCACUGGACUCUGAUUCAGACCUACCUGAUUUACCAAGGGGCAGCUCUCAGGUUAGCUUUGGGCCCAGGCAACUGAAACACACUUCUAGAAUCAUGAAAACCAGCUAAAGGCAACUCUAAACUAAAGGAGGCCUUUGUGGACUGAUGGCAGUAGCAAAUUCUCACUUUCUUGGAGAAGGUUCUGUCCUGCCUCUCACCCUCACCUUCUGGUGACACCAUUACCAUUUUCAAAAACUCCAUGCUCUUGAGAGGGAAAUUUCCCUGCUAAUAUAUUUAGGCCUAGUUUCUGCCCUCAAGUUUGCAGUGUUGU